Molecule: ribosomal RNA, 497 nt
Filed under: uncultured bacterium
Lineage: Bacteria
Description: partial 16S ribosomal RNA
Rfam family: Bacterial small subunit ribosomal RNA
Source: RNAcentral
GAUGAACGCUGGCGGCGUGCCUAAUACAUGCAAGUCGAGCGAACAGACGAGGAGCUUGCUCCUCUGACGUUAGCGGCGGACGGGUGAGUAACACGUGGAUAACCUACCUAUAAGACUGGGAUAACUUCGGGAAACCGGAGCUAAUACCGGAUAAUAUAUUGAACCGCAUGGUUCAAUAGUGAAAGACGGUUUUGCUGUCACUUAUAGAUGGAUCCGCGCCGCAUUAGCUAGUUGGUAAGGUAACGGCUUACCAAGGCAACGAUGCGUAGCUGACCUGAGAGGGUGAUCGGCCACACUGGAACUGAGACACGGUCCAGACUCCUACGGGAGGCAGCAGUAGGGAAUCUUCCGCAAUGGGCGAAAGCCUGGCGGAGCAACGCCGCGUGAGUGAUGAAGGUCUUCGGAUCGUAAAACUCUGUUAUUAGGGAAGAACAAAUGUGUAAGUAACUAUGCACGUCUUGACGGUACCUAAUCAGAAAGCCACGGCUAACUACGUG